GCUGGCUUCAGUUACCCAUAACUGGGGGUCAUGCUUUGCUGCCAAGUCACUGAACAACUUCCUCUGUUUAAACAGACUAUGUAAGCCCUACUUUUUCCCAGAGUUCACGACUCUUUCGGAAAGUGUUUUAUGAUACAGUUGUUAUAAAAUCCACCAUCACAGUAACAGCCACAGACAAGGCUUCACUGUGGGCCUGGCUUCAAGCCCAUUUAAUUGAAUGAAAGUUUUUCCUUUGCUAUCAGUGAACACAUACAUCAAGCUGCACCAUACAUCCCACUGUAAUAACAGUGCCACAGUGUUUUGCGGGCUGUGUCUAGUCACUGUUUUUCUUCAGAAAAGUCAGAGAUCAUGAAGCUAACAUCAUGCAGAGGAUCCAAAAAGGUUUUGCACACCUUUGAGACCCUAAAAAUACAUUUUGAGUGCUAUUUCAGAGAGUCUUUGCACUGGUAUUUGGCAUAAGAGCCAUGUUUAGUCCUUGCGCAUGAACUCACAAAAGGCUCAAGCUGCUUUUCUUUCCCUUCUAUCCAUCACUUACAGAGACUCUGUUCAUGGGAGAUGUAAUACUGACUGUUGGGAGUUACAAGGGGGAGCAGGUUCAUGUUCAUCAUUUAUAGCCUGACUGCAAGAGGUGACCCCUGCCAGAUGCUGCACAACAAGGACAGGACAAUUUAGAACAUCCUGGACAAGAAGAAAGAUUUCUCCCAGUAUUAGUGACACUUUAAAAACUUCGGUCCACAUCUCUUCUGUCUACAAUUUGAAGCCUUCAAUAAAUAGCCAACAGGAUGAGGACAAGAAAUCCAUUCUUCACUUGGCAACUUUAAGAGGUUUACAUCCUACAAAGUCACAUGUGUUUUGGAUACAGAGUUAUAGUAAAAUAAUGCAAAAACAGCAAUAAAACUUACAGACAGUAUUUUACUUCUGUGUUUGUAUUUUCAGUGUUUCUGUACCUAUACAGGUCUCAGUUCUGAAACUCUCACAUGUGAGAAUAACCUGAAGAUAUUUGAAAGUCAC
Molecule: long non-coding RNA, 1011 nt
Filed under: Phasianus colchicus (ring-necked pheasant)
Lineage: Eukaryota; Metazoa; Chordata; Aves; Galliformes; Phasianidae
Description: lncRNA (ENSPCLG00000020959.1)
Source: RNAcentral